This 253-nucleotide ribosomal RNA is filed under the name uncultured bacterium. RNAcentral describes it as "partial 16S ribosomal RNA". It matches the Rfam family "Bacterial small subunit ribosomal RNA", at positions 524 to 776 of the family's 1533-position model. The record is from RNAcentral.
UACGGAGGGUGCAAACGUUGCUCGGAAUUAUUGGGCGUAAAGCGCACGUAGGCGGUUUGUUAUGUCGGAUGUGAAAGCCCUCGGCUUAACCGAGGAAGUGCAUCCGAAACUGGCAAGCUUGAGUACAGAAGAGGGUCUCGGAAUUCCCGGUGUAGAGGUGAAAUUCGUAGAUAUCGGGAGGAACACCAGUGGCGAAGGCGGAGACCUGGGCUGAUACUGACGCUGAGGUGCGAAAGCGUGGGGAGCAAACAGG